GAAAUGCGAUAAGUAAUGUGAAUUGCAGAAUUCAGUGAAUCAUCGAAUCUUUGAACGCACCUUGCGCUCCUUGGUAUUCCUUGGAGCAUGCCUGUUUGAGUAUCAUGAAAUCUUCAAAGUAAAUCUUUUGUUAACUCAAUUGGUUUCUACUUUGGUAUUGGAGGUCUUUGCAGCUUCACACCUGCUCCUCUUUGUUCAUUAGCUGGAUCUCAGUGUUAUGCUUGGUUCCACUCGGCGUGAUAAGUUAUCUAUCGCUGAGGACACUGUAAAAGGUGGCCAAGGUAAAUGCAGAUGAACCGCUUCUAAUAGUCCAUUGACUUGGACAAUACUUUUAUGAUCUGAUAUCAAAUCAGGUAGGACUACCCGCUGAACUUAGGC
This 378-nucleotide unclassified non-coding RNA is filed under the name plant metagenome. RNAcentral describes it as "partial contains 5.8S ribosomal RNA, internal transcribed spacer 2, and large subunit ribosomal RNA". The stretch from base 1 to 105 matches the Rfam family "5.8S ribosomal RNA", at positions 50 to 154 of the family's 154-position model. The record is from RNAcentral.